RNAcentral lists this ribosomal RNA (439 nucleotides) under uncultured bacterium. RNAcentral describes it as "partial 16S ribosomal RNA". It matches the Rfam family "Bacterial small subunit ribosomal RNA", at positions 339 to 795 of the family's 1533-position model. The record is from RNAcentral.
CUACGGGGGGCAGCAGUGGGGAAUAUUGGGCAAUGGGCGAAAGCCUGACCCAGCAACGCCGCGUGAAGGAAGAAGGUUUUCGGAUCGUAAACUUCUAUCCCGGGUGAAGAUAAUGACGGUAGCCCGGAAGGAAGCCCCGGCUAACUACGUGCCAGCAGCCGCGGUAAUACGUAGGGGGCAAGCGUUGUCCGGAAUGAUUGGGCGUAAAGGGCGCGUAGGCGGCCUUUUAAGUCCGGUGUGAAAGUCCUGCUUUUAAGGUGGGAAUUGCAUUGGAAACUGGAAGGCUUGAGUGCAGGAGAGGUAAGUGGAAUUCCCGGUGUAGCGGUGAAAUGCGUAGAGAUCGGGAGGAACACCAGUGGCGAAGGCGACUUACUGGACUGUAACUGACGCUGAGGCGCGAAAGUGUGGGGAGCAAACAGGAUUAGAUACCCUAGUAGUC